GCCGCGGUAGCUCAAUUGGUAGAGCAUCGCACGUGUAAUGCGAAGGUUGUGGGGUCGUUCCCCACCUGUGGCA
This 73-nucleotide transfer RNA is filed under the name Dermacentor andersoni. Its description in RNAcentral is "transfer RNA threonine (anticodon UGU)". It matches the Rfam family "tRNA". From Rfam's summary of the family: Transfer RNA (tRNA) molecules are approximately 80 nucleotides in length. Their secondary structure includes four short double-helical elements and three loops (D, anti-codon, and T loops). Further hydrogen bonds mediate the characteristic L-shaped molecular structure. tRNAs have two regions of fundamental functional importance: the anti-codon, which is responsible for specific mRNA codon recognition, and the 3' end, to which the tRNAs corresponding amino acid is attached (by aminoacyl-tRNA synthetases). tRNAs cope with the degeneracy of the genetic code in two manners: having more than one tRNA (with a specific anti-codon) for a particular amino acid; and 'wobble' base-pairing, i.e. permitting non-standard base-pairing at the 3rd anti-codon position. The record is from RNAcentral. Lineage: Eukaryota; Metazoa; Arthropoda; Arachnida; Ixodida; Ixodidae.